Alosa sapidissima (American shad) is the source of this 288-nucleotide long non-coding RNA. RefSeq lists it as uncharacterized. The record is from RefSeq and is a predicted model, not a curated record. The transcript has 3 exons. NCBI's taxonomy places the organism in Eukaryota, Metazoa, Chordata, Actinopteri, Clupeiformes, Clupeidae.
UUGAGGCACUCUGCAACACAGAGUACAAAUACUCUUGUGUAAAUUGUGGCUUUUACCCUCCAGUGGUGGUUAUGGACCUCCACAGGAAAGGAGUGUUUAAUUUUGAGGUUAGUGAGCUGGAACAACCUAGGGAUGACUUUCGCGGUGAACACGACAUAGAGGCUUUCUGGGAAUCUGUUCAUCUGCACAUGAUCAGCCGAGGAUUUUUUGAGUUCUCUUCACAGAAUCCAUUUGUUGUUAAACCAACAUAUGACAACUGGGCACCUUGGAUCGGAAGGGAGACUCGUA